Molecule: ribosomal RNA, 460 nt
Filed under: uncultured bacterium
Lineage: Bacteria
Description: partial 16S ribosomal RNA
Rfam family: Bacterial small subunit ribosomal RNA
Source: RNAcentral
CCUACGGGUGGCAGCAGUGAGGAAUAUUGGUCAAUGGACGCGAGUCUGAACCAGCAAAGUCGCGUGAAGGAUGACUGCCCUAUGGGUUGUAAACUUCUUUUAUAUGGGAAUAAACUGUUCCACGUGUGGGAUUUUGUAUGUACCAUAUGAACAAGGAUCGGCUAACUCCGUGCCAGCAGCCGCGGUAAUACGGAGGAUCCGAGCGUUAUCCGGAUUUCGUGGGUGUAAAGGGAGCGUAGGUGGUUUGUUAAGUCAGUUGUGAAAGUUUGCGGCUCAACCGUAAAAGUGCAGUUGAAACUGGCAGUCUUGAGUACAGGAGAGGUGAGCGGAAUUCGUGGUGUAGCGGUGAAAUGCUUAGAUAUUACGAAGAACUCCGAGUGCGAAGGCAGUUCACUGGACUGCAACUGACACUGAGGCACGAAAGUGUGGGUAUCAAACAGGAUUAGAUACCCGGGUAGUC